UCCUGGCUCAGAAUGAACGCUGGCGGCGUGGAUUAGGCAUGCAAGUCGAACGGGCCCGCAAGGGCUAGUGGCGACCUGGUCAGUACAAAUUGGGUACCUGCCUGGAAGUGGGGGAUAACUCCGAGAAAUCGGCGCUAAUACCGCAUGUGGACGAGAGUCUAAAGCAGCAAUGCGCUUCCAGAUGGGCCCGAUCCUCAUUAGCUUGUUGGUAGGGUAAUGGCCUACCAAGGCGACGAUGAGUAGGCGACGUGAGAGCGUGACCGCCGACACGAGGACUGAGAUACGGCCUCGACUCCUACGGGGGGCAGCAGUCUAGAAGCUUCGGCAAUGGGCGAAAGCCUGACCGAGCGACGCCGCGUGAGGGAUGAAGCCCCUUGGGGUGUAAACCUCUUUCGACCGGGAAGAAAGUCCCGAUGGUGAAUCGGGAUAUGACGGUACCGGGAGAAGAAGCACCGGCUAACUCCGUGCCAGCAGCCGCGGUAAUACGGGGGGUGCAAGCGUUAUUCGGAUUUAUUGGGCGUAAAGGGCGCGUAGGCGGUCUGGUAAGUCUGGUGUGAAAACGCUACCGCUCAACGGAGCGAUUGCACUGGAUACUGCUAGACUUGAGUGCGGGAGAGGUGAGCGGAAUGUGUGGUGUAGCGGUGGAAUGCGUAGAUAUCACACAGAAUACCCGUGGCGAAGGCGGCUCACUGGCCCGCAACUGACGCUGAGGCGCGAAAGCGUGGGGAGCAAACGGAUUAGAUACCCCGGUAGUCCACGCUGUAAACGGUGAAUACUAGGUGUGGGAGGUAUCGACCCCUUCCGUGCCGAAGUUAACACAUUAAGUAUUCCGCCUGGGAAGUACGGCCGCAAGGUUGAAACUCAAAGGAAUUGACGGGGGCCCGCACAAGCGGUGGAGCAUGUGGCUUAAUUCGACGCAACGCGAAGAACCUUACCCAGGCUUGAACUGCUGAGAAAACCCUGUGAAAGCAGGGCUUCCUUCGGGAGCUCAGUAGAGGUGCUGCAUGGCUGUCGUCAGCUCGUGUCGUGAGAUGUUGGGUUAAGUCCCGCAACGAGCGCAACCCUCGUCUUUAGUUACCAGCACGUAAUGGUGGGGACUCUAGAGAGACUGCCCCGGGUUAACGGGGAGGAAGGUGGGGACGACGUCAAGUCAUCAUGGCCCUUACGUCUGGGGCUACACACGUGCUACAAUGGCUGAGACAAUGCGUCGCUACUCUGCGAAGAGAUGCCAAUCGCACAAACUCGGCCCCAGUUCGGAUUGCAGUCUGCAACUCGACUGCAUGAAGCCGGAAUCGCUAGUAAUCGCUGAUCAGAACGCAGCGGUGAAUGAGUUCCCGGGCCUUGUACACACCGCCCGUCACGUCACGAAAGUCGGCUGUACCAGAAGCCGCUGUCGGAACCCGCAAGGGACCAAGGCGUCAAAGGUAUGGCUGGUAAUUGGGAGGAAGUCGUAACAAGGUAACC
This 1464-nucleotide ribosomal RNA is filed under the name uncultured bacterium. RNAcentral describes it as "16S ribosomal RNA". It matches the Rfam family "Bacterial small subunit ribosomal RNA". The record is from RNAcentral.